CCUACGGGAGGCAGCAGUGAGGAAUAUUGGUCAAUGGCCGAGAGGCUGAACCAGCCAUGCCGCGUGCGGGAGGACGGCCCUAUGGGUUGUAAACCGCUUUUGUUGGGGAGCAAUAAGGUCCACGUGUGGAUCGAUGAGAGUACCCAGCGAAUAAGCAUCGGCUAACUCCGUGCCAGCAGCCGCGGUAAU
Molecule: ribosomal RNA, 189 nt
Filed under: uncultured bacterium
Lineage: Bacteria
Description: partial 16S ribosomal RNA
Rfam family: Bacterial small subunit ribosomal RNA
Source: RNAcentral